AUACGUAGGGUGCGAGCGUUGUCCGGAAUUACUGGGCGUAAAGAGUUCGUAGGUGGUUUGUCGCGUCGUCUGUGAAAUUCCGGGGCUUAACUCCGGGCGUGCAGGCGAUACGGGCAUAACUUGAGUACUGUAGGGGAGACUGGAAUUCCUGGUGUAGCGGUGAAAUGCGCAGAUAUCCGGAGGAACACCGGUGGCGAAGGCGGGUCUCUGGGCAGUAACUGACGCUGAGGAGCGAAAGCAUGGGUAGCGAACAGGAUUAGAUACCCUGGUAGUCCAUGCCGUAAACGGUGGGCGCUAGGUGUAGGGGUCUUCCACGACUUCUGUGCCGUAGCUAACGCAUUAAGCGCCCCGCCUGGGGAGUACGGCCGCAAGGCUAAAACUCAAAGGAAUUGACGGGG
This 398-nucleotide ribosomal RNA is filed under the name uncultured bacterium. Its description in RNAcentral is "partial 16S ribosomal RNA". It matches the Rfam family "Bacterial small subunit ribosomal RNA", at positions 523 to 918 of the family's 1533-position model. The record is from RNAcentral.